UACGUAAGGACCGAGCGUUGUCCGGAAUCAUUGGGCGUAAAGGGUACGUAGGUGGUUAGAAAAGUUAGAAGUGAAAGGCUAUAGCUCAACUAUAGUAAGCUUUUAAAACUGUUUAACUUGAGGUAUGGAAGGGAAAGUGGAAUUCCUAGUGUAGCGGUGGGAUGCACAGAUAUUAGGAAGAAUACCGGUGGCGAAGGCGACUUUCUGGCCAUUUUCUGACGCUGAGGUACGAAAGCGUGGGUAGCAAACAGG
This 252-nucleotide ribosomal RNA is filed under the name uncultured bacterium. RNAcentral's name for it is "partial 16S ribosomal RNA". It matches the Rfam family "Bacterial small subunit ribosomal RNA", at positions 524 to 776 of the family's 1533-position model. The record is from RNAcentral.